Molecule: ribosomal RNA, 1358 nt
Filed under: uncultured fungus
Lineage: Eukaryota; Fungi
Description: eukaryotic LSU rRNA
Rfam family: Eukaryotic large subunit ribosomal RNA (bases 695-1358)
Source: RNAcentral
AAGUCGUAACAAGGUUUCCGUAGGUGAACCUGCGGAAGGAUCAUUAUUGAAUAAAAAUUUGAACAGGCUGUUGCUGUCCCUUCCUUUCGGUUGGGUAUGUGCACGCUUGUCAUCUUUAUUUCUCCCCACUGUGCACAUAUUGUAGACCUGAGAGCUUUUGAAUUCAUUUUCGAGUUGGGACUGCUGCAACAAAACACAAAGUUCAGCUUUGCCUUGCAUUUUUGGGUCUAUGUCAUCUUUACAAACCUCUAGAAUCGUUUGGAAUGUUGAAUGCAAAGGUCAUUUUGUACCUAUAAAGUUAAUAUACAACUUUCAGCAACGGAUCUCUUGGCUCUCGCAUCGAUGAAGAACGCAGCGAAAUGCGAUAAGUAAUGUGAAUUGCAGAAUUCAGUGAAUCAUCGAAUCUUUGAACGCAUCUUGCGCUCCCUGGUAUUCCGAGGAGCAUGCCUGUUUGAGUGUCAUUUAAGUUCUCAACCACGAACAACUCUGUUGCAUCGUGGCUUGGAUGUGGGGGGUCAUAUUGCAGGCUUUCAAAGUCUGCUCCCCUGAAAUGCAUUAGUAGUAUCUGAGCAGAAACUACAAGGUGUGAUAAUUUAUCCAUUGCCUUCAGUAUGCUGCGAGAAAAACCAGAUCACACUGCUUCCAACAAAGAAAAAUGUGGAUUUUAACCAACCACAUUUCCUUUUGAUAAAUUUGACCUCAAAUCAGGUAGGACUACCCGCUGAACUUAAGCAUAUCAUAAGCGGAGGAAAAGAAACUAACAAGGAUUCCCCUAGUAACUGCGAGUGAAGCGGGAAAAGCUCAAAUUUGAAAUCUGGCGGUUCUGAACCGUCCGAGUUGUAAUCUAGAGAAGUGUUUACCUGUGCUGGACCGUGUACAAGUCUCCUGGAAUGGAGCAUCAUAGAGGGUGAGAAUCCCGUCUUUGACAUGGACUACCUGUACGUUGUGGUGCGCUCUCGAAGAGUCGAGUUGUUUGGGAAUGCAGCUCAAAAUGGGUGGUAAAUGCCAUCUAAAGCUAAAUAUUGGCGAGAGACCGAUAGCGAACAAGUACCGUGAGGGAAAGAUGAAAAGAACUUUGGAAAGAGAGUUAAACAGUACGUGAAAUUGCUGAAAGGGAAACGCUUGAAGUCAGUCGCGUUGGCUAGAAAUCAACCUAGCUCUUGCUCGGUGUACUUUCUGGUCGACGGGUCAGCAUCAAUUUUGACCGUUGGAUAAAGUCUUUGGGAAUGUGGCAUCUUCGGAUGUGUUAUAGCCCAUUGUCGCAUACAGUGGUUGGGAUUGAGGAACUCAGCACGCCGCAUGGCCGGGUUUCGACCACGUUCGUGCUUAGGAUGCUGGCAUAAUGGCUUUAAUCGACC